GCCCGCCUAGCUCAAUUGGAUAGAGCGUCAGACUCUUAGGAGUGCGGGCACGCACGUGCUGCGAUCUGAAGGCUGCGAGUUCGACCCUCGCGGUGGGCU
RNAcentral lists this transfer RNA (99 nucleotides) under Panus rudis PR-1116 ss-1. RNAcentral's name for it is "tRNA-Lys". It matches the Rfam family "tRNA". From Rfam's summary of the family: Transfer RNA (tRNA) molecules are approximately 80 nucleotides in length. Their secondary structure includes four short double-helical elements and three loops (D, anti-codon, and T loops). Further hydrogen bonds mediate the characteristic L-shaped molecular structure. tRNAs have two regions of fundamental functional importance: the anti-codon, which is responsible for specific mRNA codon recognition, and the 3' end, to which the tRNAs corresponding amino acid is attached (by aminoacyl-tRNA synthetases). tRNAs cope with the degeneracy of the genetic code in two manners: having more than one tRNA (with a specific anti-codon) for a particular amino acid; and 'wobble' base-pairing, i.e. permitting non-standard base-pairing at the 3rd anti-codon position. Lineage: Eukaryota; Fungi; Basidiomycota; Agaricomycetes; Polyporales; Panaceae. The record is from RNAcentral.